GGUUUCUGGAAUCUGGACUGACUGGUUUCAGUAACUCAUAGCCUGUACCUAAAAGGAGAAAUCUUAGGCCUUAGUUUUAGGGUGAAAGCAUUUUGGUCUUAUUUUGGUUCCACAUUAGCACCUUUAGUUUUUGCUCUUUGAAAAGUUCCAGGUACUUUCUGAAGAAUCUCUUUCUCCUAUGCAGUCUCACAAGGUCGGUCAGUCCUGCUCACCUGUGAAUCAAAACAAAGAGCCCUGAAUGGAGAAGAGAUAGGACCAAAGGAUCCAGACAAAUUCCGAGGCCAAUCCACAGGGAACUCUCCAGAUACAGCAGCCUCUGCAACCGCUUCAAGGACACCAACCAGAUCAUAAGGACACCAAAUGCUGAAAGAGAAGAAAUCUUUUAAAAGAUACACCAUGAAUGUCGAUAGUGAUAAAGAAGAUGGGAGGCCACAGUUUUGAAAGAAAGAAGACCAUGAACAACAUAGAAAAUGAAUAAUUCCCAGCGGCCCUACAGAGAAUCCACCACACAACAGCAGAAGAUGCCCAGUCUUCCCUAACUCCAAGGAGCAUUCUCCAGUGUGGAAAAGACUUUGAAAGAGAACAAGUUCUCAAGCCUAGCAAAGAUCAAUGCUUGAAAUUUUUUAUUUUCUUACCUAACUGGAAUGCAAAUAACAACAUCAAAAAGAAAAUAAAAUACAUAAAUGACCAAUGAAAA
Molecule: non-coding RNA, 697 nt
Organism: Peromyscus maniculatus bairdii (prairie deer mouse)
Lineage: Eukaryota; Metazoa; Chordata; Mammalia; Rodentia; Cricetidae
Source: RefSeq, a predicted model, not a curated record